GCAAGUCGAACGGCAGCAUAGGAGCUUGCUCCUGAUGGCGAGUGGCGAACGGGUGAGUAAUAUAUCGGAACGUACCCUAGAGUGGGGGAUAACGCAGCGAAAGUUGCGCUAAUACCGCAUACGAUCUACGGAUGAAAGUGGGGGAUCGCAAGACCUCAUGCUCAUGGAGCGGCCGAUAUCUGAUUAGCUAGUUGGCGGGGUAAAAGCCUACCAAGGCAUCGAUCAGUAGCUGGUCUGAGAGGACGACCAGCCACACUGGAACUGAGACACGGUCCAGACUCCUACGGGAGGCAGCAGUGGGGAAUUUUGGACAAUGGGGGCAACCCUGAUCCAGCAAUGCCGCGUGAGUGAAGAAGGCCUUCGGGUUGUAAAGCUCUUUUGUCAGGGAAGAAACGGUGAGCUCUAAUACAGUUUGCUAAUGACGGUACCUGAAGAAUAAGCACCGGCUAACUACGUGCCAGCAGCCGCGGUAAUACGUAGGGUGCAAGCGUUAACCGGAAUUACUGGGCGUAAAGCGUGCGCAGGCGGUUAUGUAAGUCAGAUGUGAAAUCCCCGGGCUCAACCUGGGAAUGGCAUUUGAGACUGCAUGGCUAGAGUGUGUCAGAGGGGGGUAGAAUUCCACGUGUAGCAGUGAAAUGCGUAGAGAUGUGGAGGAAUACCGAUGGCGAAGGCAGCCCCCUGGGAUAACACUGACGCU
This 697-nucleotide ribosomal RNA is filed under the name uncultured soil bacterium. RNAcentral's name for it is "bacterial SSU rRNA". It matches the Rfam family "Bacterial small subunit ribosomal RNA", at positions 57 to 747 of the family's 1533-position model. The record is from RNAcentral.